AUUGAACGCUGGCGGCAGGCCUAACACAUGCGAGUCGAGCGGAUGAAGGGAGCUUGCUCCUGGAUUCAGCGGCGGACGGGUGAGUAAUGCCUAGGAAUCUGCCUGGUAGUGGGGGAUAACGUCCGGAAACGGGCGCUAAUACCGCAUACGUCCUGAGGGAGAAAGUGGGGGAUCUUCGGACCUCACGCUAUCAGAUGAGCCUAGGUCGGAUUAGCUAGUUGGUGGGGUAAAGGCCUACCAAGGCGACGAUCCGUAACUGGUCUGAGAGGAUGAUCAGUCACACUGGAACUGAGACACGGUCCAGACUCCUACGGGGGGCAGCAGUGGGGAAUAUUGGACAAUGGGCGAAAGCCUGAUCCAGCCAUGCCGCGUGUGUGAAGAAGGUCUUCGGAUUGUAAAGCACUUUAAGUUGGGAGGAAGGGCAGUAAGUUAAUACCUUGCUGUUUUGACGUUACCAACAGAAUAAGCACCGGCUAACUUCGUG
This 484-nucleotide ribosomal RNA is filed under the name uncultured bacterium. RNAcentral's name for it is "partial 16S ribosomal RNA". It matches the Rfam family "Bacterial small subunit ribosomal RNA", at positions 30 to 507 of the family's 1533-position model. The record is from RNAcentral.